CUUAAUGCCACUGAAAGUCAUACAACCUAGUUUCAUGAAGUUUGCUCUCAAGAUGGUUUGUUUAUAUGAAAGAGGGGUUCCUUCCUAUUCAGAACAAAUGAAAACCUUCAGCAGAGAAACUGUGAGGGAACCUAGGCUCAGGAAAGUUGGUCAUGUAUUUGUGAGGAGCAGAGUCAACAUUCAGCCAGUUACCAAGACAGAAACCUUGGAUUUGAAUCAGAGCAGCCUGGCCGAAGACUCUGGAUGACUAUAGUGGGUAAACCAGUCUGGAAGUUGAGAACAGCAAGUGUGACAUUAGUGUGAGUGUGAG
This is a long non-coding RNA of Heterocephalus glaber (naked mole-rat), 310 nucleotides long. The record is from Ensembl. NCBI's taxonomy places the organism in Eukaryota, Metazoa, Chordata, Mammalia, Rodentia, Bathyergidae.